Molecule: ribosomal RNA, 253 nt
Filed under: uncultured bacterium
Lineage: Bacteria
Description: partial 16S ribosomal RNA
Rfam family: Bacterial small subunit ribosomal RNA
Source: RNAcentral
UACGGAGGGUGCAAGCGUUAUCCGGAUUCACUGGGUUCAAAGGGUGUGUAGGCGGGUAGUUAAGUCAGUGGUGAAAUCUCCAGGCUCAACCUGGAAACUGCCAUUGAUACUAUCUAUCUUGAAUAUUGUUGAGGUAGGCGGAAUAAGUCAUGUAGCGGUGAAAUGCAUAGAUAUCGUCCAGAACACCGAUAGCGAAGGCAGCUUACUAAGGAGUAACUGACGCUGAGGCACGAAAGUGUGGGGAUCAAACAGG